Molecule: ribosomal RNA, 255 nt
Filed under: uncultured bacterium
Lineage: Bacteria
Description: partial 16S ribosomal RNA
Rfam family: Bacterial small subunit ribosomal RNA
Source: RNAcentral
UACAGAGGUCUCAAGCGUUGUUCGGAUUCAUUGGGCGUAAAGGGUGCGUAGGCGGCGCGGUAAGUCGGGUGUGAAAUCUCGGAGCUUAACUCCGAAACUGCAUUCGAUACUGCCGUGCUUGAGGACUGGAGAGGAGACUGGAAUUUACGGUGUAGCGGUGGAAUGCGUAGAGAUCCGGAAGAACACCGGUGGCGAAGGCGGCCUGCUGGGCAGUUUAGCUGACACUGAGGCGCGACAGCGUGGGGAGCAAACAGG